UGGGGAGUAUUGCACAAUGGGCGCAAGCCUGAUGCAGCGACGCCGCGUGGGGGAUGACGGCCUUCGGGUUGUAAACUCCUUUCGCUAGGGACGAAGCUUUUUGUGACGGUACCUAGAUAAGAAGCACCGGCUAACUACGUGCCAGCAGCCGCGGUAAUACGUAGGGUGCGAGCGUUGUCCGGAAUUACUGGGCGUAAAGGGCUCGUAGGUGGUUUGUCGCGUCGUCUGUGAAAUUCCGGGGCUUAACUCCGGGCGUGCAGGCGAUACGGGCAUAACUUGAGUACUGUAGGGGUAACUGGAAUUCCUGGUGUAGCGGUGAAAUGCGCAGAUAUCAGGAGGAACACCGAUGGCGAAGGCAGGUUACUGGGCAGUUACUGACGCUGAGGAGCGAAAGCAUGGGUAGCGAACAGG
This 411-nucleotide ribosomal RNA is filed under the name Actinomycetes bacterium. RNAcentral's name for it is "Actinobacteria bacterium partial 16S ribosomal RNA". It matches the Rfam family "Bacterial small subunit ribosomal RNA", at positions 355 to 776 of the family's 1533-position model. The record is from RNAcentral. Lineage: Bacteria; Bacillati; Actinomycetota; Actinomycetes.